Non-coding RNA from Pelobates cultripes (western spadefoot toad), 298 nucleotides. The record is from the annotation of a GenBank genome assembly. NCBI's taxonomy places the organism in Eukaryota, Metazoa, Chordata, Amphibia, Anura, Pelobatidae.
CUUUUCCUGACAAUCCUCUCCAGGCUGCUGUCAUCCCUGCUGCUUGUGCACCUUUUUCUUCCACACUUUUCCCUUCCACAUAACUUUCUAUUAAUGUGCUUUGAUACAGCACUUUGGGAACAUCCAACUUCCGCCACAAUUACCUUUUGAGGCUUUCCCUCCUUGUGGAGGGUGUCAGUGAUGGUUUUCUGCACAACUGUCAGGUCAGCAGUCUUCCCCAUGAUUGUGAUUCCUACUGAACCAGACAGAGACCAUUUAAAGGCUCAGAAACCCUUUGCAGGUGUUAUGGCUUACUUAG